CCUACGGGUGGCAGCAGUGAGGAAUAUUGGUCAAUGGACGAGAGCCUGAACCAGCCAAGUAGCGUGAAGGAUGACUGCCCUAUGGGUUGUAAACUUCUUUUAUACAGGAAUAAAACGAGGCACGUGUGCCUUUUUGCAUGUACUUUAUGAAUAAGGAUCGGCUAACUCCGUGCCAGCAGCCGCGGUAAUACGGAGGAUCCGAGCGUUAUCCGGAUUUAUUGGGUUUAAAGGGAGCGUAGGCGGGAUGUUAAGUCAGGUGUGAAAGUUCGGGGCUCAACCAUAGCAGUGCAGUUGAAACUGGCGGUCUUGAGUGCAGUGGAGGUAGGCGGAAUUCGUGGUGUAGCGGUGAAAUGCUUAGAUAUCACGAAGAACCCCGAUUGCGAAGGCAGCAUACUGAAGUGCGACUGACGCUGAUGCUCGAAGGUGUGGGUAUCGAACAGGAUUAGAUACCCUUGUAGUC
Molecule: ribosomal RNA, 460 nt
Filed under: uncultured bacterium
Lineage: Bacteria
Description: partial 16S ribosomal RNA
Rfam family: Bacterial small subunit ribosomal RNA
Source: RNAcentral